GGCAGCUAUACAUGCAGUCGAGCGGACAGAUGGGAGCUUGCUCCCUGAUGUUAGCGGCGGACGGGUGAGUAACACGUGGGUAACCUGCCUGUAAGACUGGGAUAACUCCGGGAAACCGGGGCUAAUACCGGAUGGUUGUUUGAACCGCAUGGUUCAGACAUAAAAGGUGGCUUCGGCUACCACUUACAGAUGGACCCGCGGCGCAUUAGCUAGUUGGUGAGGUAACGGCUCACCAAGGCGACGAUGCGUAGCCGACCUGAGAGGGUGAUCGGCCACACUGGGACUGAAACACGGCCCAGACUCCUACGGGAGGCAGCAGUAGGGAA
RNAcentral lists this ribosomal RNA (326 nucleotides) under Bacillus subtilis. Its description in RNAcentral is "bacterial SSU rRNA". It matches the Rfam family "Bacterial small subunit ribosomal RNA", at positions 46 to 361 of the family's 1533-position model. Lineage: Bacteria; Bacillati; Bacillota; Bacilli; Caryophanales; Bacillaceae. The record is from RNAcentral.